Molecule: ribosomal RNA, 173 nt
Filed under: uncultured Methanomicrobiales archaeon
Lineage: Archaea; Methanobacteriati; Methanobacteriota; Methanomicrobia; Methanomicrobiales
Description: partial 16S ribosomal RNA
Rfam family: Archaeal small subunit ribosomal RNA
Source: RNAcentral
UCGGGCUACACGCGGGCUACAAUGGGUGGGACAAUGGGUAUCGACACCGAAGGUGAAGGCAAUCUCCUAAACCCAUCCGUAGUUCGGAUUGUGGGCUGCAACUCGCCCACAUGAAGCUGGAAUCUGUAGUAAUCGUGUCUCAAAAUGGCACGGUGAAUAUGUCCCUGCUCCUU